RNAcentral lists this ribosomal RNA (384 nucleotides) under Triticum aestivum (bread wheat). RNAcentral describes it as "partial small subunit ribosomal RNA". Lineage: Eukaryota; Viridiplantae; Streptophyta; Magnoliopsida; Poales; Poaceae. The record is from RNAcentral.
AAGGAAACUGCAGAGGAGCUGUUGGCUCGGCUGAACUUACACGAGGAGGAGGAGGAUGACUUCGUUUGGGAAGAAGAAUUUCCGAACUUGGGGGCGCCGGUGAAGUGGCUCGCUAUAGCCCAGGUGCAUACACCGAAAACCUUUAGCCCUAAUGCUCUAUACGGGGACAUGCGAGCGGCAUGGAAUUCCGCGAGGACUGUGGUGUGGAGGAAGAUCAAAGAUAGUCAGUUCACAGCCCAAUUUGGAUGUCUCGAUGAUUGGAACAAAGCAAUGUUGGAGGGACCCUGGCUGUUCAGAGAUCAUGCGGUAAUCUUGAAGGAGUAUGAUGGUUUGAUGAAGCCUGAGAGUGUUGUCCUGGGCUCAGAUACAUCUUCUCCCGGAUAA